Molecule: ribosomal RNA, 418 nt
Filed under: uncultured bacterium
Lineage: Bacteria
Description: bacterial SSU rRNA
Rfam family: Bacterial small subunit ribosomal RNA
Source: RNAcentral
UGAUCCUGGCUCAGAGCGAACGUUAGCGGCGCGCCUAACACAUGCAAGUCGCACGAGAAAGGGGGCAACCCCCGGUACAGUGGCGCACGGGUGAGUAACACGUGGAUUACCUUCCCUGGAGUGGUGGAUAACCUGCCGAAAGGUGGGCUAAUACAGCAUGAGACCACGCACUUUCGAGUGUGAGGUCAAAGCGGGCUUCUGUUUACAUGCUCGCGCUCUAGGAUGGGUCCGCGGCCCAUCAGCUAGUUGGUAGGGUAACGGCCUACCAAGGCAACGACGGGUAGCUGGUCUGAGAGGAUGACCAGCCACACUGGAACUGAGACACGGUCCAGACUCCUACGGGAGGCAGCAGUGGGGAAUCUUGCGCAAUGGGCGAAAGCCUGACGCAGCGACGCCGCGUGGGUGACGAAGGCCUCGG